Molecule: ribosomal RNA, 1599 nt
Filed under: uncultured bacterium
Lineage: Bacteria
Description: bacterial SSU rRNA
Rfam family: Bacterial small subunit ribosomal RNA
Source: RNAcentral
UCUCCCAUAUGGUCGACCUGCAGGCGGCCGCGAAUUCACUAGUGAUUAGAGUUUGAUCCUGGCUCAGAUUGAACGCUGGCGGCAGGCUUAACACAUGCAAGUCGAGCGGUAGCACAGGGGAGCUUGCUCCCUGGGUGACGAGCGGCGGACGGGUGAGUAAUGUCUGGGAAACUGCCUGAUGGAGGGGGAUAACUACUGGAAACGGUAGCUAAUACCGCAUAACGUCGCAAGACCAAAGAGGGGGACCUUCGGGCCUCUUGCCAUCAGAUGUGCCCAGAUGGGAUUAGCUAGUAGGUGGGGUAAUGGCUCACCUAGGCGACGAUCCCUAGCUGGUCUGAGAGGAUGACCAGCCACACUGGAACUGAGACACGGUCCAGACUCCUACGGGAGGCAGCAGUGGGGAAUAUUGCACAAUGGGCGCAAGCCUGAUGCAGCCAUGCCGCGUGUGUGAAGAAGGCCUUCGGGUUGUAAAGCACUUUCAGCGAGGAGGAAGGUGGUGAACUUAAUACGUUCAUCAAUUGACGUUACUCGCAGAAGAAGCACCGGCUAACUCCGUGCCAGCAGCCGCGGUAAUACGAAGGGUGCAAGCGUUAAUCGGAAUUACUGGGCGUAAAGCGCACGCAGGCGGUUUGUUAAGUCAGAUGUGAAAUCCCCGGGCUCAACCUGGGAACUGCAUUUGAAACUGGCAAGCUAGAGUCUCGUAGAGGGGGGUAGAAUUCCAGGUGUAGCGGUGAAAUGCGUAGAGAUCUGGAGGAAUACCGGUGGCGAAGGCGGCCCCCUGGACGAAGACUGACGCUCAGGUGCGAAAGCGUGGGGAGCAAACAGGAUUAGAUACCCUGGUAGUCCACGCUGUAAACGAUGUCGAUUUGGAGGUUGUGCCCUUGAGGCGUGGCUUCCGGAGCUAACGCGUUAAAUCGACCGCCUGGGGAGUACGGCCGCAAGGUUAAAACUCAAAUGAAUUGACGGGGGCCCGCACAAGCGGUGGAGCAUGUGGUUUAAUUCGAUGCAACGCGAAGAACCUUACCUACUCUUGACAUCCAGAGAACUUUCCAGAGAUGGAUUGGUGCCUUCGGGAACUCUGAGACAGGUGCUGCAUGGCUGUCGUCAGCUCGUGUUGUGAAAUGUUGGGUUAAGUCCCGCAACGAGCGCAACCCUUAUCCUUUGUUGCCAGCGGUUCGGCCGGGAACUCAAAGGAGACUGCCAGUGAUAAACUGGAGGAAGGUGGGGAUGACGUCAAGUCAUCAUGGCCCUUACGAGUAGGGCUACACACGUGCUACAAUGGCAUAUACAAAGAGAAGCGACCUCGCGAGAGCAAGCGGACCUCAUAAAGUAUGUCGUAGUCCGGAUUGGAGUCUGCAACUCGACUCCAUGAAGUCGGAAUCGCUAGUAAUCGUAGAUCAGAAUGCUACGGUGAAUACGUUCCCGGGCCUUGUACACACCGCCCGUCACACCAUGGGAGUGGGUUGCAAAAGAAGUAGGUAGCUUAACCUUCGGGAGGGCGCUUACCACUUUGUGAUUCAUGACUGGGGUGAAGUCGUAACAAGGUAACCGUAGGGGAACCUGCGGCUGGAUCACCUCCUUAAUCGAAUUCCCGCGGCC